This 253-nucleotide ribosomal RNA is filed under the name uncultured bacterium. Its description in RNAcentral is "partial 16S ribosomal RNA". It matches the Rfam family "Bacterial small subunit ribosomal RNA", at positions 524 to 776 of the family's 1533-position model. The record is from RNAcentral.
GACGUAGGGGGCCAGCGUUGUUCGGAAUUACUGGGUGUAAAGGGUUCGUAGGCGGUGCGGCAAGUUGGGAGUGAAAUCUCUGGGCUCAACCCAGAGGCUGCUUCCGAAACUGCUGUGCUUGAGUGUGGGAGAGGCGCGUGGAAUUGCAGGUGUAGCGGUGAAAUGCGUAGAUAUCUGCAGGAACACCCGUGGCGAAAGCGGCGCGCUGGACCACUACUGACGCUGAAGAACGAAAGCUAGGGGAGCAAACAGG